AAGGAGAUGUCUCAGCACAUCACAUCUCUCCAUAAGGAGAUAAAGGGAGUGGAGAAGCUGAAAGAGAACAUCAGAAUGGGCUGUGCUCUCUCAAACUUAUUCUCUGCACUCCUGUCAAGUCCCUUUCUCUCUCUCUCAACCUCUUAAUUCUGUGCGCGCUCAACUCUUGACAUGCUCGCUCAACGUGCAAGAGCGUUACAAGUGUGCCACAAAAUCAACCAAUCGGAAAAUUAAAGAUUUUGGUGACUUGUCAGAGGAUGCUGCAGCUGGUUUCAAAAGUGUCCUCAUGCGGAGGUCUUAUGCACUGGAGAGUUUAUGCCAACAAGCUGUGAGCACGGAUAGUGCUAUAGUUGAUGACCUCCAGAUACAGGACACAGAAUGCAGAUCGGACACUGAUGACGAAUAUAACCUUAGUAGUCCAGAGUCAGAAGAAGAUUAGAAAGGAGACCACUCUGUUUUGUUUUUAAAAUCUGCUGAUCCUUUCUUUUUCAACUUCAACAAUUUCCAGCUUGUCUUCAACAACCUCCAGCAAGCAAUAAUUUAUCGCUGCAGAAUGGCCAGACUCUGGCUACCUUUUAUUAGCAGGCUAACCCCCAAGCUAUCAGACAUGUAAAUAUGCACUAACCCUAUGAUAAUUCAGUUAUCAACAUUAGGUGUUGUUAAUUGUGAAAUUAUUUUGCACUGCAACUUCAUAUACUUCAAUCAUGAGUGUGUAAUAUAAUUGCAAUAUUGACUGAAUGGAUUGGCCCUCUGGGUGGACUGUUUUAUGCAUUCUGGACUGUGACAUUUCAACCUCAACUUUAGCACUUAAAGGACAAUAGGGAGCUCAUUUAUGCUCUAUUGAAUUUUCUUGUGUCAGAUGUGUUUUGUGGUACAUGUGAGCACACAAAGAUAGAUUUCUUCAACUGGAAAUGGCUACAAUAAACUUGAAUGAAUUUGAAAGUGUAAAUAAUUUGUGAUUGUAAAAAGUGCAUAAAGUACAUAAUUGCCUUGUAGUCUUUAUUCAAAAUCUACAUUUUACAGUAUACUGUCAUAAUAUAAAAACUCUUCAGGAUGCAGACGUGGCACUGGUGAAAUCAAAAGUCAAAAAUUGUCCAUGGGACCUGGUGUCACUUGGCAGUACUUAACGCGCUGUGUUGACUUGACAGAUCAGAGAUUUGAUAAAAACCCAUUAAUCUUGUUUUUCAUAUAUUCAAAACCAAUGUAUUUAAGCAGGAUAGUAUUUAAAUUAACAUGA
Molecule: non-coding RNA, 1237 nt
Organism: Pimephales promelas (fathead minnow)
Lineage: Eukaryota; Metazoa; Chordata; Actinopteri; Cypriniformes; Leuciscidae
Source: RefSeq, a predicted model, not a curated record